This 216-nucleotide unclassified non-coding RNA is filed under the name Hevea brasiliensis (rubber tree). The record is from RNAcentral. Lineage: Eukaryota; Viridiplantae; Streptophyta; Magnoliopsida; Malpighiales; Euphorbiaceae.
AGUAAAUUGCAGUGUGAAAUGCGACCUAAAUACGUGACAUGGAAAAUGAUUGUGCAAGUGAAAGUGAGUCAGUUGUGACAGUAAGUUGGUAACAUGCUGUCCAGGUGCCUCACUGAUUUUGUCUGGGAAAGGUCAAUCUUAAUCUUAAUCUGUCUCCAUUCUCUCCAGGCUCAAACCUUUAAAUUACCACGUUGAAUCCUCUCAAAGCUCUUGGCA